CAGCCAGGCUAACUCUGUGCCAGCAGCCGCGGAAAUACAGAGGGUGCAAGCGUAAUCGGAUUUACUGGGCGUAAAGCGCGCGUAGGCGGCUAAUUAAGUCAAAUGUGAAAUCCCCGAGCUUAACUUGGGAAUUGCAUUCGAUACUGGUUAGCUAGAGUGUGGGAGAGGAUGGUAGAAUUCCAGGUGUAGCGGUGAAAUGCGUAGAGAUCUGGAGGAAUACCGAUGGCGAAGGCAGCCAUCUGGCCUAACACUGACGCUGAGGUGCGAAAGCAUGGGGAGCAAACAGGAUUAGAUACCCUGGUAGUCCAUGCCGUAAACGAUGUCUACUAGCCGUUGGGGCCUUUGAGGCUUUAGUGGCGCAGCUAACGCGAUAAGUAGACCGCCUGGGGAGUACGGUCGCAAGACUAAAACUCAAAUGAAUUGACGGGGGCCCGCACAAGCGGUGGAGCAUGUGGUUUAAUUCGAUGCAACGCGAAGAACUUAACUGGCCUGACAUAGUAAGAACUUUC
This 509-nucleotide ribosomal RNA is filed under the name uncultured bacterium. RNAcentral describes it as "bacterial SSU rRNA". It matches the Rfam family "Bacterial small subunit ribosomal RNA", at positions 491 to 1000 of the family's 1533-position model. The record is from RNAcentral.